RNAcentral lists this unclassified non-coding RNA (391 nucleotides) under Hevea brasiliensis (rubber tree). The record is from RNAcentral. Lineage: Eukaryota; Viridiplantae; Streptophyta; Magnoliopsida; Malpighiales; Euphorbiaceae.
AAAAAAAUGAUCAGCUCCUAACGUCCGGUUCCAGUAAGGAUACUUCGUUCUCAGCUCACGAACAAGCCGCGCCUGAGAACGACUAGAUAUCUCCGGAGAGAAAACCACGAAGAACAGAUCAGCUUCUUCAGGCUCCUGAGUGAUAAACGCGCUGUUAAUGAGAGAUUCGUAGAAAUUUGAAGCUGACGGACUAAAAAAAAUAAUUCGUUGAGUCGUUGGAUAUAUGAAAACUUUGAAACUCGUAAGCAUCUUAUCGUAGUUCAUGGAAAACGUUGACGGAUAUAGAUAAGGCGAAAACGAAGACGAAGACGAAGAAGGAUGAACUAAGACAAAGAGGAAGAGUAUAAAACACAAUGAGAAAGUGAAAGUUGCCAUUUCUCCGUUGAGCGAG